Molecule: ribosomal RNA, 1451 nt
Filed under: Klebsiella pneumoniae
Lineage: Bacteria; Pseudomonadati; Pseudomonadota; Gammaproteobacteria; Enterobacterales; Enterobacteriaceae
Description: bacterial SSU rRNA
Rfam family: Bacterial small subunit ribosomal RNA
Source: RNAcentral
UGAACGCUGGCGGCAGGCCUAACACAUGCAAGUCGAGCGGUAGCACAGAGAGCUUGCUCUCGGGUGACGAGCGGCGGACGGGUGAGUAAUGUCUGGGAAACUGCCUGAUGGAGGGGGAUAACUACUGGAAACGGUAGCUAAUACCGCAUAACGUCGCAAGACCAAAGUGGGGGACCUUCGGGCCUCAUGCCAUCAGAUGUGCCCAGAUGGGAUUAGCUAGUAGGUGGGGUAACGGCUCACCUAGGCGACGAUCCCUAGCUGGUCUGAGAGGAUGACCAGCCACACUGGAACUGAGACACGGUCCAGACUCCUACGGGAGGCAGCAGUGGGGAAUAUUGCACAAUGGGCGCAAGCCUGAUGCAGCCAUGCCGCGUGUGUGAAGAAGGCCUUCGGGUUGUAAAGCACUUUCAGCGGGGAGGAAGGCGGUGAGGUUAAUAACCUCAUCGAUUGACGUUACCCGCAGAAGAAGCACCGGCUAACUCCGUGCCAGCAGCCGCGGUAAUACGGAGGGUGCAAGCGUUAAUCGGAAUUACUGGGCGUAAAGCGCACGCAGGCGGUCUGUCAAGUCGGAUGUGAAAUCCCCGGGCUCAACCUGGGAACUGCAUUCGAAACUGGCAGGCUAGAGUCUUGUAGAGGGGGGUAGAAUUCCAGGUGUAGCGGUGAAAUGCGUAGAGAUCUGGAGGAAUACCGGUGGCGAAGGCGGCCCCCUGGACAAAGACUGACGCUCAGGUGCGAAAGCGUGGGGAGCAAACAGGAUUAGAUACCCUGGUAGUCCACGCYGUAAACGAUGUCGAUUUGGAGGUUGUGCCCUUGAGGCGUGGCUUCCGGAGCUAACGCGUUAAAUCGACCGCCUGGGGAGUACGGCCGCAAGGUUAAAACUCAAAUGAAUUGACGGGGGCCCGCACAAGCGGUGGAGCAUGUGGUUUAAUUCGAUGCAACGCGAAGAACCUUACCUGGUCUUGACAUCCACAGAACUUUCCAGAGAUGGAUUGGUGCCUUCGGGAACUGUGAGACAGGUGCUGCAUGGCUGUCGUCAGCUCGUGUUGUGAAAUGUUGGGUUAAGUCCCGCAACGAGCGCAACCCUUAUCCUUUGUUGCCAGCGGUUCGGCCGGGAACUCAAAGGAGACUGCCAGUGAUAAACUGGAGGAAGGUGGGGAUGACGUCAAGUCAUCAUGGCCCUUACGACCAGGGCUACACACGUGCUACAAUGGCAUAUACAAAGAGAAGCGACCUCGCGAGAGCAAGCGGACCUCAUAAAGUAUGUCGUAGUCCGGAUUGGAGUCUGCAACUCGACUCCAUGAAGUCGGAAUCGCUAGUAAUCGUAGAUCAGAAUGCUACGGUGAAUACGUUCCCGGGCCUUGUACACACCGCCCGUCACACCAUGGGAGUGGGUUGCAAAAGAAGUAGGUAGCUUAACCUUCGGGAGGGCGCUUACCACUUUGUGAUUCAUG